Molecule: ribosomal RNA, 381 nt
Filed under: uncultured marine Chaetocerotaceae
Lineage: Eukaryota; Bacillariophyta; Thalassiosirophyceae; Chaetocerotales; Chaetocerotaceae
Description: SSU rRNA
Rfam family: Eukaryotic small subunit ribosomal RNA
Source: RNAcentral
AGCUCCAAUAGCGUAUAUUAAAGUUGCUGCAGUUAAAAAGCUCGUAGUUGCAUUUCCGAGGCAAGGGAUUAGUCCGACCUUUGGUGGGUAUUUAAUCCUCUUGCCUCGUCCUUGAGUGGUGCUUCUUGGUAUUAAGUUAUCGAGGAGAUAGCCGCUCAUCGUUUACUGUGAGAAAAUUAGAGUGUUCAAAGCAGGCUUAUGCCGUUGAAUAUAUUAGUAUGGAAUAAUAAGAUAGGACCUCGGUACUAUUUUGUUGGUUUGAGAACCAAGGUAAUGAUGAAUAGGGACAGUUGGGAGUAUUCGUAUUCAGUUGUCAGAGGUGAAAUUCUUAGAUUUACGGAAGACGAACUACUGCGAAAGCAUUUACCAAGGAUGUUUUCA